GAAGUCCCCCCCAAUGAACAGAAACAGUAAACAGUGAUAAGAAGUUUUCGUUUGUGAAUCCGGUGAAUCGUGAUUUUAGUUUAAAUCAUACUUAAAAGUAUUACAAAUGGUUGCUGAUAAUUUGAAAGACAGAAUAAAGAAUCGGAAAGCUGAACCUCAGUUCAUGCAGAUUGAAAGAAAUAACUCUAAAAGAAAUCGUAGGCUGGUAUGAAACAUGUCAGUUUGUUAAAUCUAUCUAUCUAAGAACAAAAUAGCCUUGAUUCCGAGCAAAAAUCAAAGAAAAAUGACAAAGAAGCUCAAUAUUGGGGUAUCGCCACACAAACUAAACAAAAAGAUCGCAAACAGAAGUAACUUUUGAGAUGAUGUACAGUUUUGCUCGGUUCUCAGUUAAUCUAAUACAGUUACUAAAUACACAAUUGGCCAAAGUGAUCAGAGGCAAUUUGUGCAUGUAUGAUAUGAACGAUGAAAUGGUCUAAUACAUUUGUAAAGAAGUGAAAUCUUUCUAUUUCAAUAAUAAAAGGGUAGAUUAUAC
Planococcus citri (citrus mealybug) is the source of this 532-nucleotide long non-coding RNA. RefSeq lists it as uncharacterized. The transcript has 3 exons. NCBI's taxonomy places the organism in Eukaryota, Metazoa, Arthropoda, Insecta, Hemiptera, Pseudococcidae. The record is from RefSeq and is a predicted model, not a curated record.